RNAcentral lists this unclassified non-coding RNA (314 nucleotides) under uncultured Thelephoraceae. RNAcentral's name for it is "sequence contains ITS2". Lineage: Eukaryota; Fungi; Basidiomycota; Agaricomycetes; Thelephorales; Thelephoraceae. The record is from RNAcentral.
AACGCACCUUGCGCCCUUUGGCUAUUCCGAAGGGCAUGCCUGUUUGAGUAUCAUGAACAUCUCAACUCUCAUGGCUUGCCGUGAUGAGCUUGGACUUUGGGGGUCUUGCUGGCCUGUGGUCAGCUCCUCUCAAAUGAAUUAGCCUGCCGGUGUUUGGUGGGAUCACAGGUGUGAUAACUAUCUACGCUUGUGGUUUUCCACCAGGUAACCCUCAGCAAUGGAGGUUCACUGGAGCUUAUAAAUGUCUCUCCCCCAGCGAGGACAGAUUUCGACCGUUUGAUCUCAAAUCAGGUAGGACUACCCGCUGAACUUAA